Molecule: ribosomal RNA, 467 nt
Filed under: uncultured Bordetella sp.
Lineage: Bacteria; Pseudomonadati; Pseudomonadota; Betaproteobacteria; Burkholderiales; Alcaligenaceae
Description: bacterial SSU rRNA
Rfam family: Bacterial small subunit ribosomal RNA
Source: RNAcentral
UUGACGGGGCCCGCACAAGCGGUGGAGUAUGUGGUUUAAUUCGACGCAACGCGCAGAACCUUACCUACCCUUGACAUGUCUGGAAUCCCGAAGAGAUUUGGGAGUGCUCGCAAGAGAACCGGAACACAGGUGCUGCAUGGCUGUCGUCAGCUCGUGUCGUGAGAUGUUGGGUUAAGUCCCGCAACGAGCGCAACCCUUGUCAUUAGUUGCUACGAAAGGGCACUCUAAUGAGACUGCCGGUGACAAACCGGAGGAAGGUGGGGAUGACGUCAAGUCCUCAUGGCCCUUAUGGGUAGGGCUUCACACGUCAUACAAUGGUCGGGACAGAGGGUCGCCAACCCGCGAGGGGGAGCCAAUCCCAGAAACCCGAUCGUAGUCCGGAUUGUAGUCUGCAACUCGACUACAUGAAGUCGGAAUCGCUAGUAAUCGCGGAUCAGCAUGUCGCGGUGAAUACGUUCCCGGGUCUU